Anopheles aquasalis is the source of this 3377-nucleotide RNA transcript. It is a transcript of the gene named Cysteine string protein, with no coding region annotated. Lineage: Eukaryota; Metazoa; Arthropoda; Insecta; Diptera; Culicidae. The record is from RefSeq and is a predicted model, not a curated record.
UCUGCGCCAAAGCAAAAAAGCGAGAAAAGAGGGCCACGGGAACCGAAGAAGGUGCAGCUGCUGCCCAGAGACCCCAGAAAUAUUCGAAUUUUCCGUGACCGCGAGGACCCAGACACGCAGCGUCCACUGACCGUGUCCUUGUUCGUGAAUAGGAAAAGCGGACCAGCCGUGUUUCGUCCUUCAAUUGACGCGAGUGUUGUGCGUGUUGUGCAUUAUUGAGUGUCCCAGCAAACCGUGCGUGCGUUGAGUAGAUUUUCCGGGCUCGCGGGAAGCGCGGACACACCUCCCCUGGGGUGAGGUACUUCUUGGAAGAUUCGGCAAGGUGUACAGUGCUGGGAACCCCCCCCCCCUCCUCCUCCUCCUCACCAUCGUAUCCGGUGACGAUAACAGCAGCAACAACAGAGGCAGGUGCAGCGCGAGUGCGGUAACGGCCAGGAGCACGAGCAUAGUUUGGCAUAACAUCUGCUAGAGGAAUAUCUUAUCACAAAAUGGAUAAAAGAAAAUUAUCAACAUCCGGCGAUACGCUGUAUCAAACCCUGGGACUGCAGAAAACGGCUACAGCGGAUGAAAUCAAGAAAACGUACCGAAAGCUUGCGCUGAAGUAUCACCCAGACAAGAACCCAAACAACCCAGACGCAGCGGAAAAGUUCAAAGAGGUUAACCGGGCUAAUUCCAUCUUGAGUGAUCUAACGAAGAGGAACAUCUACGACAACUAUGGUUCGCUUGGGUUGUACAUCGCGGAGCAGUUCGGAGAGGAGAAUGUCAACGCCUACUUCGUCGUUACUUCACCGACAUGCAAGGCGUUGUUUAUGAUUUGCGGUAUUAUAACGGGAUGUUAUUGCUGCUGCUGUUGCUGCUGCUGCUGUAACUUCUGUUUCGGAAAGUACAAACCGGUGCCACCGGAGAACGCCGGCGAUUACCAUCAUUUGCACAGAGGAGAUGGUGGUGCCAGUAGUAGCAACGCAGGGGAUGCCACGGCCGUCACUGAACAGCCAUCGCGAAGAGAGGAUUUGGCCGAUCUGGACGAUAAUGGUGGUGGCAGCAGCGGUGGACCGGUUACAGCGCAACCCCAGGCCGGCCAGGCACAGGGGGCCGGCAUGCCCGUGUACGCGAUGCCUCCGCCAUCGGCGAACCCAACGAAUCCGUUCACCGGAUCGACCGCUACCGAAAGCACAGGUCUCAACACGGGCAAUCAGCCAGUGUAUACGCCUGGACGUUAAAAACAAAUUCAUAUUUCGGAUUCCCGCUGUCUACCCACGGCUUAAUGCUCUAUAAUAUACACACAAUUUACUACGUGCGGAAAGCAUAAUGGGGUAAUUGAUGUCCCUCCACUACGUUCGUUUGUUUGUCUGCAGAUUUGCUACAAUUUUGAAACACUCGCGAGAUAGUGCUUAGCCCCCCAAAAGCUCCUCAUAUCUUCAGUUUACGCAACACCACAACUGUUGUUGCGAAUUGCUUGUACAUCCUUUACCAACAUCCGUUCGUCAAACCGUUCCUGAAAUGAGAAAACGUAAUUUGAUGACCUCGUAUUAGAUAUCGCCGUAUGAAAUGAAGAUAAUAAGCAUCGCCAUUAAAAUCCUGCUCCGUACGAGAUACCGGUUCGAACGAAUGAUCGAUGAUCAUCAUCCCUAAGGCAUUACUUGUUCGCUCGCCCGCUCGCAGCAGCAACAUACCAACAACACACAACACACUCCCAUUACAACACUCGUGUUUGCACGUAUCGGAUCUGAUGCACCGGAACCUGUGCAGCGCUACAAUAUGAAGUAACAAUAAUAAGAAAUCGUAAAAAAGAGCUAGCAUACUUCCCCUCGCCGACGACGAUGGUGGCUGGUGGUGUCCUUUCGCAAGACACACAUACACAUACAACACGACACACUGGAACAUGUGUCGUGACCGAAAGACAAAUUGUAGUUUACCGUUUUUAAGAAAUAUUUAUACUUUGCCACCAUGCAGACACGAAGCAGCAGCAGCUUUUUAGGCCUCCCUUUCUCUAGCAAACCCGGCAACACGAGCUAGAAUCGCAUGGCUGGCAAGUUGUGCUGCUGUUCGCUGCAGUGACCAUUGUGCGUGUAUGUGUGUGUGUGUCUGCAUGCCAGUAUGUGUGUGUGUGUGUGUUUGUUAGUAUUUCAUUCUUAAAUACUGAUAGCACCGGAAUAGGGAGCAGAAAUCAAACAUAAAAAAACCCUUCCUACUUCCUUUCGACUUCGGACUUUUGCAAUCAUUCGCCGUUGGUGCGAAACGAAUUAUUAUUGAUCCAGUAUCGCUCGAUGUUUUUAGUGAAAACGGUAUAACAAAUCAAUAGAACUGUAUCGGAAGUAAUUGUGAGGAGCAAAGGUUGGAAGCAAAACAGAAUUUCCUCAACACAAUUGAAAACAAACAGCACAUGAAUGAAGGUGGUGAGUUGUUUGUGGCACGAAUUUCAUUUAAUGUUGUGCUCACCAAAGGGAAAAGAACAAACAGAUUCAACUCCAAAAGAUGGAAUAGGUCGAUUAGUAAGCGUUAAGGUGCAGUGGGUAGCAGCGAGAGUACUACGUGGAGCGAGAACAACAAAAAAAAACAAUAAAAAACAACACUUUUACCCUAAUUUAUUGAGUGUUACAAACAUUUUCAAAGUUCUGCAAUUACUCAUUCAAUUCCGGCAAGCAAGAAUAAUAUGUUAAGUAAUUAGGAACGUUGCUAGGUCAGACGUCGCAGAAUUACUCGAGACAAACGCGAGAGAAAGCGAAGAGCACGUGGUAGUUUGAAAGAGUAUCAAGUAUUUAAGCUUGUUAAGUUGUUCCGUGUAGCAACGUGUGUCUCGACGUGUAAUGGCUGAACAUACAAAAAAGUAUAUAUAUAUACAUAUAAAGUGACGUGGGUGAAAGUCGAACCUUAACAAAAGAAUAGUAUAUAUAUUAUAUAUACACAAAGACACACUCUCACUCAUAUGAACAAUGCAUCUAUAUCUUAUACCCAUUUGUCCCAACAAUUUCCUAAUUCACUCGAUAUGCGCACGACAUUGUUAGAGAGAGAGAGGGGUAGGAUCAGCCAGGAGGAGCGAGGUGGGACGGAUGCUGUUGAUGUUAGUAAAGGACUACUGUUAGAAGUAGUGCAGUGGAGAAACGGCGAAGACGGACGGACGCGUACAGACAGGACACAGGACAGGGAUUCACGAUGGGCGGCGGCAGGUGCGUGCUUAGGCCCCGUUUAUAUAUUGUAAAAAUAUAUGAAAUUGAAAACCAAGGAGUAAAAUUAUAAACAUUAAAGCUUACCUUUUGACCGUGCAAAGAUAGGGAGAAAAGGGCGGAAAGUGAGAGCGAAAGACACUACUUUAACCAUCUUAACGAAAAAAUAAACGACCUGAACGACGAAACCUUCAUUGCCACGUUAUGCAAAGU